AGGGCACCACCAGGAGUGGAGCCUGCGGCUUAAUUUGACUCAACACGGGAAAACUCACCCGGCCCGGACACCGUAAGGAUUGACAGACUGAAAGCUCUUUCUUAAUUCGGUGGGUGGUGGUGCAUGGCCGUUCUUAGUUGGUGGAGCGAUUUGUCUGGUUAAUUCCGAUAACGAACGAGACUCUGGCCUACUAAAUAGACGGUAAAUCCUAAAGUAUACCGCGCUUCUUAAAGGGACAAGCGGGGUCUAGCCCCAUGAAAUAAAGCAAUAACAGGCCUGUGAGGCCCUUAAAGGCCCGGGGCUGCCCGCGCGCUACACUGAAAGAAUCAGUGGGCGAUGCUUGUGGUCCGGAAGGACUGGACAACCCAAGAAUAUUCUUUCGUGCUUGGAAUAGGGAAUUGCUAUUAUUUCCCUUAAACGAGGAAUUCCCAGUAAAUGCGGGUCAUAAGCUCGCGUUGAUUACGUCCCUGCCCUUUGUACACACCGCCCGUCGCUACUACCGAUUGGAUGACUUAGUGA
Molecule: ribosomal RNA, 519 nt
Filed under: uncultured eukaryote
Lineage: Eukaryota
Description: bacterial SSU rRNA
Rfam family: Eukaryotic small subunit ribosomal RNA
Source: RNAcentral